Long non-coding RNA from Bos taurus (domestic cattle), 474 nucleotides. The record is from Ensembl. Lineage: Eukaryota; Metazoa; Chordata; Mammalia; Artiodactyla; Bovidae.
CACCAACCUUCCAGAAACAGGAAAGGCCCUCCGAGCCGCCAGCCCAGCCCGUAGAACAAGCCGUUCCCAGUCCCAGGUGGAGUUUCUGGCCUGACCCACACGCAGACGCCGCACAUGGGUGGUCUGGUGGAUCAGAGGAGGAGCAGAAAGACGAUAGCAGGCUCCGGAGACCCACGCAGCCUGGGUCUUCCUCCACAGCCUCAGUCUUUCCGGCUGGGAAAUGGGGAAACGGCCUCUGCUUCACCAGCUGGUGAGGAUUUUAUUGGUUAAGGCCUGGAACAGACUUCAAGGGCACUUGGCUCCCGGAAAGAUGUUAGGCCCAUUCCCGAACACGGAGUCAUCUGCAUGGCAGACGGAGGAACCGUGUUCACGUGAACGCAAUGUGAGGUCUGGGCUUUUCUGGGCAUGUCCAGUGGCUUAUGUACUUUGAUCAGACCUUCCUUGGAAGAAAGGGCGGCUCAGAUUCAGCGGAGG